GCGACCUUCCUGCCACUACGCUGCAACCAGGCGGCCCACGGUGCGGCCACUUUGGGUUGCUAAAUAUCUAGAUACUUCCGGCCCGCAUUGCCAGGUCCACUAGGCAUCCCCGCCGUCCGGUAAGUACCGUCGCGCUGCCUGGCGGCCGAGUCUUCUGCGUGUGGCCCCCCUCACCUCCCGGCCCCGCCGUGGGAUCCGUCAAGCUAGAACUUUCCACGAGCCAAGCCCUUGGGACGGCGCCUGCCACCGGAUGAACACUCGAACUAUUUACAAGAGGUGGACAUCAGCAAUACAGAGAUCAAAUGAGAGAGGCCUCAUCAGAGGGGAGUCGAUGGAGAAAACGGGCAGUCCUACACGUUUGCGGAGAGGAAGUGGUAAUAACCGUUACCGGUGACAACGCAGACGGUGCACGCGACGACGACAGACGAGGAUGGGGGAGAGGAGUUAUGUGCAAAGUGCUCUUGUUCCCAAGCGACAUUCACCUGCUCGGGCUUCGUGGAACUUACGGGGAAUUCUUAACUACUCAGCUUUAAAAAAGUAAGACUUGGAAGGCCAACAUGCUUUAGUAUCAACUGUGCUCCAGUGAACCCCAUGCUUGGUUGGAUGGAGAGUAUG
Long non-coding RNA from Leopardus geoffroyi (Geoffroy's cat), 615 nucleotides. RefSeq lists it as uncharacterized. The transcript has 4 exons. The record is from RefSeq and is a predicted model, not a curated record. Lineage: Eukaryota; Metazoa; Chordata; Mammalia; Carnivora; Felidae.